Molecule: ribosomal RNA, 482 nt
Filed under: uncultured bacterium
Lineage: Bacteria
Description: partial 16S ribosomal RNA
Rfam family: Bacterial small subunit ribosomal RNA
Source: RNAcentral
AUUGAACGCUGGCGGCAUGCUUUACACAUGCAAGUCGAACGGUAACAGGCCGCAAGGUGCUGACGAGUGGCGAACGGGUGAGUAAUGCAUCGGAACGUGCCCAGUCGUGGGGGAUAACUACUCGAAAGAGUAGCUAAUACCGCAUACGAUCUAUGGAUGAAAUCGGGGGACCGUAAGGCCUCGCGCGAUUGGAGCGGCCGAUGUCAGAUUAGGUAGUUGGUGGGGUAAAGGCUCACCAAGCCAACGAUCUGUAGCUGGUCUGAGAGGACAACCAGCCACACUGGGACUGAGACACGGCCCAGACUCCUACGGGAGGCAGCAGUGGGGAAUUUUGGACAAUGGGCGCAAGCCUGAUCCAGCAAUGCCGCGUGCAGGAAGAAGGCCUUCGGGUUGUAAACUACUUUUGUACGGAACGAAACGGCUCUGGUUAAUACCCGGGGCUAAUGACGGUACCGUAAGAAUAAGCACCGGCUAACUACGUG